UCCGAUAUGGUGUAGUGGCUAACAUUAUCGCCUCUCAUUAAGCAAGGGACUGAAAACCAUGUAUAGAUGCGCGAUAGCCCGGGGUUCGAUUCCCCGUGUCGGAA
The sequence is a transfer RNA, 104 nucleotides long. It matches the Rfam family "tRNA". From Rfam's summary of the family: Transfer RNA (tRNA) molecules are approximately 80 nucleotides in length. Their secondary structure includes four short double-helical elements and three loops (D, anti-codon, and T loops). Further hydrogen bonds mediate the characteristic L-shaped molecular structure. tRNAs have two regions of fundamental functional importance: the anti-codon, which is responsible for specific mRNA codon recognition, and the 3' end, to which the tRNAs corresponding amino acid is attached (by aminoacyl-tRNA synthetases). tRNAs cope with the degeneracy of the genetic code in two manners: having more than one tRNA (with a specific anti-codon) for a particular amino acid; and 'wobble' base-pairing, i.e. permitting non-standard base-pairing at the 3rd anti-codon position. The record is from Rfam.